RNAcentral lists this unclassified non-coding RNA (200 nucleotides) under soil metagenome. RNAcentral's name for it is "partial contains internal transcribed spacer 2 and large subunit ribosomal RNA". The record is from RNAcentral.
UGGUCUUGGGUGGUCGCGCCCCCCUCUCCCUCCGGGGAUGCGAGGGACGCGCCCCCGAAAUGCAGCGGCGGUGCGGCCGGGUCCCUAGCGCAGUGACUUUUUAUCUCGCUACAAGGAACCCGCGUCCCGUUCCGGCCGGACAACAACCAAAUUUUAUCACGAUUGACCUCGGAUCAGGUAGGGAUACCCGCUGAACUUAA